UGCUUCCAACAGGGAUACCAGCUGCGGAUAAGGAAUCGCGAAAUCCUGUAAUUCCAACUGAUGUAUUCAUAAGGCCAACAUGUAUCCCAAUAUUAGGCUGAGCAGCUUUCUGACCUCGUGCAGUGGGAAAUCUUCCAAGGCAUCGGGAACAGCUGGGUGAGGCCGAAGUAACCGCAUAUUGCCAGUCGUCCCCUGUGAAUCGGUGACCACAUAUGAAGAUGCACCUCGACUCGUUGACGGCUUAGCCACUGCAUCAAAGUCUUCCCUGGACAGCCUGGUACAGGAAAUCUUCCAAGGCAUCGGGAACAGCUGGGUGAGGCCGAAGUAACCGCAUAUUGCCAGUCGUCCCCUGUGAAUCGGUGACCACAUAUGAAGAUGCACCUCGACUCGUUGACGGCUUAGCCACUGCAUCAAAGUCUUCCCUGGG
Molecule: long non-coding RNA, 427 nt
Organism: Gigantopelta aegis
Lineage: Eukaryota; Metazoa; Mollusca; Gastropoda; Neomphalida; Peltospiridae
Exons: 3
Source: RefSeq, a predicted model, not a curated record